Molecule: ribosomal RNA, 451 nt
Filed under: uncultured bacterium
Lineage: Bacteria
Description: bacterial SSU rRNA
Rfam family: Bacterial small subunit ribosomal RNA
Source: RNAcentral
GUGGGGAAUAUUGGACAAUGGGCGCAAGCCUGAUCCAGCCAUGCCGCGUGUGUGAAGAAGGCCUUUUGGUUGUAAAGCACUUUAAGCGAGGAGGAGGCUACCGAGAUUAAUACUCUUGGAUAGUGGACGUUACUCGCAGAAUAAGCACCGGCUAACUCUGUGCCAGCAGCCGCGGUAAUACAGAGGGUGCAAGCGUUAAUCGGAUUUACUGGGCGUAACGCGCGCGUAGGUGGCCAAUUAAGUCAAAUGUGAAAUCCCCGAGCUUAACUUGGGAAUUGCAUUCGAUACUGGUUGGCUAGAGUAUGGGAGAGAAUGGUAGAAUUCCAGGUGUAGCGGUGAAAUGCGUAGAGAUCAGGAGGAAUACCGAUGGCGAAGGCAGCCAUCUGGCCGAAUACUGACACUGAGGUGCGAAAGCAUGGGGAGCAAACAGGAUUAGAUACCCCGGUAGUCC